This 81-nucleotide transfer RNA is filed under the name Kocuria flava. RNAcentral describes it as "tRNA-Gly". The record is from RNAcentral. Lineage: Bacteria; Bacillati; Actinomycetota; Actinomycetes; Micrococcales; Micrococcaceae.
GCGGCGUGCGCCAGGGCGAUGGCCCGGGCCUGCCGCGCCCGGCGGAACGGGCACCUGCGGUGCCACACCGCCCGCGUCGUG